GAUUGAUGCUGUUAAGUGAUCAACUGACAAGGCUACAAUGCAUUAUUGUGUUCAAAUUUGCAGCUUAAUAAGUUUAACCCAAUGGGAGACACACUGGCCUCUGGAAUGGGUUUUAAUAUUAUGAUCUGGAGCCGGGAUGAGAUGGUAACCAAGAAGCAAUAGUGUCUCAUGCAAGCUAUGACAGAGCAGGGAAUCGGAUGCAGGAGCUUAACUCGGCAAGGAGGGCAGAGGCAGAGGCAAUCAAACACAGGAACAAGCAAACUCAAAUCAAAACUACUCAGUCUGGAACUGGAGGACACUAAAACAAAGGGCCAAGAGCGCAAAUUACAGGAGAAAAGGAGGAGAGGAAAGGAUGCAGAAGACUGAUCAGGCAAGCAUCUAUAGUGUUGAUUAAGCCAAGCCUGUACUCGUACAGUGGGCAACACUGGCCUCAAGCUCAUUUCCCUAAUCCAGCUUCUCUGGAUCAUGAAUGAUAUGUUGCAAAAACAAGGCAUCUUUCACCUAAGGGCAAGGAAUGGGUUAAAUUGGGCCCAAAAGGGCAUUGUAUCUGUACAUACUUGCUGAUUUUUAAUUGUUUAGGACACAGUUCAGUGCAAUGAACUGGGGUAUGCUGACUGUUCAGUUUGUAUUUUCAGAAUGAUUUUCUCCUCCAGUGUAUUGAGCAGCCCAUUUUUCUCCUAUGCUGCGACCUCAAACGAGUUCUUUCCCUGCAAAGAAGAACAUGUAGAUUCUUUCCCACCAUUCCUUCCUCAAACAGAUGUCUUGAGGCUACUGUUAACUUAGGCAUUUGCUUGAAAGUUAGCUCAAAACUGCUUGGCUACGCUCUUAAAGAAGCUGGUUGCAUCUAAGGAGGGCGGCUGUAAAGGUUUUAUAUUGCUGCUGCUAUUGCAAUUUUCUUAUUGUUAAGCACCAAGAUGUUGAAUAAAGUGUGUCUGUCAUACUA
Hemicordylus capensis (graceful crag lizard) is the source of this 943-nucleotide long non-coding RNA. RefSeq lists it as uncharacterized. NCBI's taxonomy places the organism in Eukaryota, Metazoa, Chordata, Lepidosauria, Squamata, Cordylidae. The transcript has 2 exons. The record is from RefSeq and is a predicted model, not a curated record.